Molecule: ribosomal RNA, 1537 nt
Filed under: uncultured bacterium
Lineage: Bacteria
Description: bacterial SSU rRNA
Rfam family: Bacterial small subunit ribosomal RNA
Source: RNAcentral
UAGAGUUUGAUCCUGGCUCAGGGUGAACGCUGGCGGCGUGCCUAACACAUGCAAGUCGAGCGCCGAACUCGCUUAAAUUGGUUUUCGGAUCAGUGGCGGUGAGGGAAAGCGGCGGACGGGUGAGUAACGCUUGGGCAACCUACCUCCUGGAUUGGGACAACCCGCCGAAAGGCGGGCUAAUACCGAAUAUUCUUCCCCGGUGAUUCAUCGGGGAAGGAAAGAUCUGCCGCAAGGCAGAUUGCCGGGGGAUGGGCCUGAGUCCUAUCAGCUUGUUGGCGGGGUAACGGCCCACCAAGGCGAAGACGGGUAGCUGGUCUGAGAGGACGACCAGCCACAAGGGGAUUGAGAGACGGCCCCUACUCCUACGGGAGGCAGCAGUGAGGAAUCUUGGACAAUGCCCGAAAGGGUGAUCCAGCGACGCCGCGUGAGUGAUGAAGGCCUUCGGGUCUUAAAACUCUGUCGAGCGGGAAGAAAUCAGCUCAAACUGAUGACGGUACCGCUAAAGGAAGCCCCGGCUAAUCCCGUGCCAGCAGCCGCGGUAAGACGGGAGGGGCGAGCGUUACCCGGAAUUACUGGGUGUGAAGGGUCUGCAGGCGGUUGGAUGUGUCGGUCUUGAAAUACUCUGGCUCAACCAGAGAAUAGGGGCCGAAACUAUCCGACUUGGAGUCCGGGGGAGGAAAACGGAACUGCCGGUGUAGCGGUGAAAUGCGUAGAUAUCGGCAGGAACACCAGUGGCGAAGGCGGUUUUCUACUUCGGAACUGACGCUGAGGGACGAAAGCGUGGGGAGCGAUCGGGAUUAGAUACCCCGGUAGUCCACGCCCUAAACGAUGGGUGCUGGGUGUUGGUCCGGUAAAGCGGAUCGGUGCCGAAGCUAACGCGUUAAGCACCCCACCUGGGGACUACGGCCGCAAGGUUGAAACCCAAAGGAAUUGACGGGGGCCCGCACAACCGGUGGAGUAUGUGGUUCAAUUCGAUGAUACGCGAGGAACCUUACCUGGGCUUGACAUGCUGGUAGUAGGACCCCGAAAGAGGGACGAUCCGUCGUAAGACGGAAGCCAGUACAGGUGGUGCAUGGCUGUCGUCAGCUCGUGCCGUGAGGUGUUGGGUUAAGUCCCGGAACGAGCGCAACCCUUGCUCGUAGUUACUCGCCCUAAAGGCAGCACUCUACGAGGACUGCCGUGGUUAACACGGAGGAAGGUGGGGACGACGUCAAGUCAGCACGCCCCUUAUGUCCAGGGCUACACACGUACUACAAUGGUCGGUACAGAGGGAAGCGAAGCCGCGAGGUGGAGCAAAUCUCAAAAAACCGGCCCCAGUUCAGAUUGCAGGCUGAAACCCGCCUGCAUGAAGCUGGAAUCGGUAGUAAUCGCGGAUCAGCCAAGCCGCGGUGAAUACGUUCUCGGGCCUUGUACACACCGCCCGUCACGCCAACUGAGUCGAGGAUACCUAAAGCCACUUUUUCCAAUCCGCCGCAAGGUGGAAGGAUGGUGCCUAAGGUAUGCUUGGUAAGGAGGGCGAAGUCGUAACAAGGUAACC